RNAcentral lists this ribosomal RNA (275 nucleotides) under uncultured prokaryote. RNAcentral's name for it is "partial 16S ribosomal RNA". It matches the Rfam family "Bacterial small subunit ribosomal RNA", at positions 524 to 798 of the family's 1533-position model. The record is from RNAcentral.
UACGUAGGGUCCGAGCGUUGUCCGGAAUUAUUGGGCGUAAAGAGCUCGUAGGCGGCCUGUCGCGUCUGCUGUGAAAGUCCGGGGCUUAACUUCGGGUGUGCAGUGGAUACGGGCAGGCUUGAGGUAGGUAGGGUAGACUGGAAUUCCUGGUGUAGCGGUGAAAUGCGCAGAUAUCAGGAGGAACACCGGUGGCGAAGGCGGGUCUCUGGGCCUUACCUGAUGCUGAGGAGCGAAAGCGUGGGGAGCGAACAGGAUUAGAUACCCGGGUAGUCCCU